Molecule: non-coding RNA, 1599 nt
Filed under: Pongo abelii (Sumatran orangutan)
Lineage: Eukaryota; Metazoa; Chordata; Mammalia; Primates; Hominidae
Source: RNAcentral
GAGAGAGGGUGCGCAGACGGCCAGCGCGGCCGUGCCAGGGACAUACUGGAGACAGGAAGUGGCUGAGAGGGGGAGAGAGAGUUAGAGAGAGACGGCCACGGAGGACACGGGGACGGGAAAGUCUGAGAGACGGGGAGAGCCUGACCCGGCGGGACACAGGCAAAAAGAAACACGCGAGCCAGGCAGACGCAGCAGAAACGUGCCUGGUACUGGAUAGGAACUUCAUGGAAUGGAGCUAAUGGGCCGUAGGGCAGGUUUGAGUCUUGCCACCCUGGAGCGGAAGGUGGAGAGUAGGGAUAAGGGGGUGGAGCACCUGAUUCCAAUCUUGCCGCAGGGAAGAAGAGUCUGUGAAGAAGGUGGAGAGAAACUAGGAGAAAGCACAGGAUGUAGAGGUCUAUUCGGCAUAAUCUUCUCCCUCAUUUUCAUCUUCACCAUCAACAGAGAGAGCAGCAUACUUGCUUGCAGAACUGAACUUCUGUAAUACAACAAGAGUGACAGGAUAAUGAAGGCCCUGAAUUAUCACAUCAAAACCCAAGACACAGGAUACUGAUCCUUUGGCAAUGGGGGAUGACAGUCAGAUGACACCCACUUGCUUGCUCAUCAGCAUUGUCCACUGGAGAGGAGCUAGGGAAGAGGGUCAGAGGCACAUGUGAUCUUACUGUAGUCUCAUACCACCUCUACACCUUGCAGAAGGGAUGAGAACAAAGGAAGGCAGAAACUAGGAAAAAGCUAAACUUCUUUCGCUAUUUCAGACAAAGACCAAUGUCUUAUUUCCAAACACUUUGUAUUCCAAAUGGAAAGAAGUCCAACGGCAAAAAGUAUUCUAAGAAAAAUUGGGAGCAGCCUUCAACACUUACGGAAGCUGGAUUUUCCUCAGGUUUCUUUGGCUCAGGUGCAGAUCUGGAGUCUUGAUCCUUUUUGCCAUCUUUCCUGCAAAGACGUAAGCAUAAAACCAUGUCUUUAGGAAAGGACUCGCCUAAUACAAACAUGUGCAUGCACGCAGUUUCAAGGCACUGAACAGGCACCUCUCUAGUCAACAGUCCUUGUUGUCUGGAUGAUGUAUUACUUCUAGAUUUUCAGAAUCUUAACUGUCUACAUUGGCUGACUUUAGUUUGCUCACAAUGACAGAUCUGGCAGCGCUUUGAGAACCAAGAACUUAAUUUCUUAAUUACACAAACAUGUGGAUCAGAGGAAAGAUGAUAAUGAGAAAGAACAAGCAUACCUAUCUGACUCCUUCCAGUGGUCUUUGUUCCCUCCGUCUCCUGGACCACGGCUAGAGUUCCCAGUUUGGCCUUUUGGGACAUUCAUCCCAUCUACUUUAUUUUCAUCUGCUUGGGCAGUAAUGUAAACAAAUUAAAGGCAAGUAAAAGUAUCAAUGUCCCUCUCCUAAGAUUUCCCUUAAGCUGAAGAAAACUGUGCCCACAUGUACUGAGGGAAACUAACCCCACCCCAACCGACUUCCUUCCUGAAGCCCUUCUUUUUCCACACCCUCUACAGCACACAAAAAUACAAAAAACAAACAAAAUCCACUAAAAAGUUCCAUGUAGGGAUAUGCCAUCAUGAAAAGCAAGCUGGAAAUAAAGACUAUGACGCUCUGUA